Molecule: transfer RNA, 64 nt
Filed under: Amarygmini sp. ACP-2013
Lineage: Eukaryota; Metazoa; Arthropoda; Insecta; Coleoptera; Tenebrionidae
Description: tRNA-Pro
Source: RNAcentral
UCAAGAAAUAGUUUAAUUUAAAAUUUUAAUUUUGGAGAUUAAUGAUGAAUGAUAUUCUUUCUUG